GACGCAACGCGAAGAACCUUACCUGGUCUUGACAUCCUGCGAACUUGGUAGAGAUACCUUGGUGCCUUCGGGAGCGCAGUGACAGGUGCUGCAUGGCCGUCGUCAGCUCGUGUCGUGAGAUGUUGGGUUAAGUCCCGUAACGAGCGCAACCCUUGUCCUUAGUUGCCAGCGGUCCGGCCGGGAACUCUAGGGAGACUGCCGGUGACAAACCGGAGGAAGGUGGGGAUGACGUCAGGUCAUCAUGGCCCUUACGGCCAGGGCUACACACGUGCUACAAUGGGGCGCACAGAGGGCGGCAAGCGCGCGAGUGCAAGCGAAUCCCUUAAAACGCCUCGUAGUCCGGAUCGGAGUCUGCAACUCGACUCCGUG
This 369-nucleotide ribosomal RNA is filed under the name Halovibrio variabilis. RNAcentral describes it as "bacterial SSU rRNA". It matches the Rfam family "Bacterial small subunit ribosomal RNA", at positions 953 to 1322 of the family's 1533-position model. The record is from RNAcentral. Lineage: Bacteria; Pseudomonadati; Pseudomonadota; Gammaproteobacteria; Oceanospirillales; Halomonadaceae.